RNAcentral lists this ribosomal RNA (460 nucleotides) under uncultured bacterium. Its description in RNAcentral is "partial 16S ribosomal RNA". It matches the Rfam family "Bacterial small subunit ribosomal RNA", at positions 338 to 795 of the family's 1533-position model. The record is from RNAcentral.
CCUACGGGCGACAGCAGUGAGGAAUAUUGGUCAAUGGGCGCUAGCCUGAACCAGCCAAGUAGCGUGAAGGAUGACUGUCCUAUGUGUUGUAAACUUCUUUUAUAUGGGAAUAAAGUGCAGUAUUUAUACUGCUUUGCAUGUACCUUAUGAAUAAGCAUCGGCUAACUCCGUGCCAUCAGCCUCGGUAAUACGGAGGAUCCGAGCGUUAUCCGGAUUUAUUGGGUUUAAAGGGAGCGUAGGCGGGUUGUUAAGUCAGUUGUGAAAGUUUGCGGCUCAAACGUAAGAUUGCAGUUGAAACUGGCAUCCUUGAGUACAGGAGAGGUAGGCGGAAUUCGUGGUGUAGCGGUGAAAGGCUUAGAUAUCACGCAGAACUCCGAUUGCGAAGGCAGCCUGCUGGACUGUAACUGACGCUGAUGCUCGAAAGUGUGGGUAUCAAACAGGAUUAGAUACCCCAGUAGUC